CGGCAAACGGGUGCGGAACACGUACGCAAUCUACCUCUUUCAGGGGCAUAGCCCGGAGAAAUCCGGAGUAACUCCCCAUAAGAUAAUGGUGUGGGAUCACACAGUUAUUAAAACUCAGGUGGAAAGAGAUGAGCGUGCGUCCCAUUAGCUAGUUGGUAGGGUAAUAGCCUACCAAGGCAACGAUGGGUAGCUGGUGUGAGAGCACGACCAGGCACACGGGCACUGAGACACGGGCCCGACUCCUACGGGAGGCAGCAGUGAGGAAUAUUGGUCAAUGGACGCAAGUCUGAACCAGCCAUGCCGCGUGAAGGAUGAAGGCGUUCUGCGUUGUAAACUUCUUUUAUCUGGGAAGAAANCUACCUUUUCUAAGGUAGCCGACGGUACCAGAGGAAUAAGCACCGGCUAACUCCGUGCCAGCAGCCGCGGUAAUACGGAGGGUGCAAGCGUUAUCCGGAUUCACUGGGUUUAAAGGGUGUGUAGGCGGAUAUUUAAGU
RNAcentral lists this ribosomal RNA (494 nucleotides) under uncultured Sphingobacterium sp. RNAcentral describes it as "bacterial SSU rRNA". It matches the Rfam family "Bacterial small subunit ribosomal RNA", at positions 96 to 588 of the family's 1533-position model. Lineage: Bacteria; Pseudomonadati; Bacteroidota; Sphingobacteriia; Sphingobacteriales; Sphingobacteriaceae. The record is from RNAcentral.